CAGCUUUCAAUCGAUAUAGACAAUCAUUUAUCUUCGGAGUUUACAGAUAACGAAUUAAAAAUAACAAAUUAAACAAUACAAUAUCGUUAUUACGUUCAUUAUGAUAUGUUUCUAUAAGUGCGUAUAUAUACUUAAGAGUUAUAGGAGUGCGAGUGUUUUAAUUUUGAUCGUCUGUAUUCAUUAUGGUGUUCCUCGUAUACUUAAAAAUUCGGUGGGUGUCUUCUGACAAUUACAACGUAUGGAGGGUGAUCUUAA
Molecule: non-coding RNA, 255 nt
Organism: Cinara cedri
Lineage: Eukaryota; Metazoa; Arthropoda; Insecta; Hemiptera; Aphididae
Source: the annotation of a GenBank genome assembly